RNAcentral lists this ribosomal RNA (481 nucleotides) under uncultured bacterium. RNAcentral describes it as "partial 16S ribosomal RNA". It matches the Rfam family "Bacterial small subunit ribosomal RNA", at positions 28 to 507 of the family's 1533-position model. The record is from RNAcentral.
GAUGAACGCUGGCGGCGUGCUUAACACAUGCAAGUCGAACGAAGCACUUUAUUUGAUUUCCUUCGGGACUGAUUAUUUUGUGACUGAGUGGCGGACGGGUGAGUAACGCGUGGGUAACCUGCCUUGUACAGGGGGAUAACAGUUGGAAACGGCUGCUAAUACCGCAUAAGCGCACAGCAUCGCAUGAUGCAGUGUGAAAAACUCCGGUGGUAUAAGAUGGACCCGCGUUGGAUUAGCUAGUUGGUGAGGUAACGGCCAACCAAGGCGACGAUCCAUAGCCGAGCUGAGAGCGUGACCGGCCACAUUGGAACUGAGACACGGCCCAAACUCCGACGGAGGGGAGCAGUGGGGAAUAUUGCACAAUGGGCGAAAGCCUGAUGCAGCGACGCGGCGUGAGCGAAGAAGUAUUUCGGUAUGUAAAGCUCUAUCAGCAGGGAAGAUAAUGACGGUACCUGACGAAGAAGCACCGGCUAAAUACGUG